RNAcentral lists this unclassified non-coding RNA (365 nucleotides) under Hevea brasiliensis (rubber tree). Lineage: Eukaryota; Viridiplantae; Streptophyta; Magnoliopsida; Malpighiales; Euphorbiaceae. The record is from RNAcentral.
AUUGCCUAUUCCUCCAUUAUAUUCAUCUCAAUACAUGCUUCACUAAAUUAAAACAAGCAUAAUAUCUACAAGGUAUCAAUUUUGCCAAAUUCAGAGACUCUGCAUGAGAUAUCAAAUAUGAAGUACAAUAAAUCAUAAUCUUUGUCAAAAAGUUACCAGAGUAAUAUCUCAAACACUUUAUGCAAUGAAGAUAAUAGCCUUAAAAGAAUAAGGUUCGGAUUCAACUUCCAUUAACAAAACAUGGACAUUCAUCAGUUCUCUUACAAACAAAAUAUUACUCAAAAAUAGAUAAUAAACAAAAAGAGACUGAAGUAAAAAUGACUAAACCCUCUAGUUGCCAUUCGUUUGAAAAAUUAAGCUAUAAA